RNAcentral lists this transfer RNA (76 nucleotides) under Patescibacteria group bacterium. RNAcentral describes it as "tRNA-Cys". It matches the Rfam family "tRNA". Rfam says of the family: Transfer RNA (tRNA) molecules are approximately 80 nucleotides in length. The record is from RNAcentral.
GGUGCGGUGGUGAAGUAGCUAACACUGCGGUCUGCAAAACCGCCAUUCGCGGGUGCAAAUCCCGCCCGCACCUCCA